This 465-nucleotide ribosomal RNA is filed under the name uncultured Klebsiella sp. Its description in RNAcentral is "bacterial SSU rRNA". It matches the Rfam family "Bacterial small subunit ribosomal RNA", at positions 338 to 795 of the family's 1533-position model. The record is from RNAcentral. Lineage: Bacteria; Pseudomonadati; Pseudomonadota; Gammaproteobacteria; Enterobacterales; Enterobacteriaceae.
CCUACGGGUGGCUGCAGUGGGGAAUAUUGCACAAUGGGCGCAAGCCUGAUGCAGCCAUGCCGCGUGUGUGAAGAAGGCCUUCGGGUUGUAAAGCACUUUCAGCGGGGAGGAAGGCGGUGAGGUUAAUAACCUUAUCGAUUGACGUUAUCCGCAGAAGAAGCACCGGCUAACUCCGUGCCAGCAGCCGCGGUAAUACGGAGGGUGCAAGCGUUAAUCGGAAUUACUGGGCGUAAAGCGCACGCAGGCGGUCUGUCAAGUCGGAUGUGAAAUCCCCGGGCUCAACCUGGGAACUGCAUUCGAAACUGGCAGGCUAGAGUCUUGUAGAGGGGGGUAGAAUUCCAGGUGUAGCGGUGAAAUGCGUAGAGAUCUGGAGGAAUACCGGUGGCGAAGGCGGCCCCCUGGACAAAGACUGACGCUCAGGUGCGAAAGCGUGGGGAGCAAACAGGAUUAGAUACCCGUGUAGUC